AUUCCAGGUAAAGGAGGCAACAAGCAAGACUGCUAUAAAGCAGAAGUUCUGGUGUAUUCAAUAAACAGUAGCAUGAUUUGGGUAACUGGAGUCAGUGAGCAAGAGGGAGAGAAGCAACACAUUAAGUCACAGAGAUUAAAAAUGUGGUGGGGAUUAGAACAUGUAGGCCAUUCAAAGGGCUUGGCUUUUCCUCUAAGAAAGGUGAGAGCCAGUGGAGGGUUUUUUAAAAUUGAAUGACAUAAUCUGAUGUUUUACAAGGAUCAUGUUUUACAAAGAUCUGGCUUUUAUACUGAGAGUAGACCAUAAGAGUAAGAAAUGUCUUAUUCAUUUUGGUACCCCAAAUAAUCAAAACAGUAUGUGGUAUGUAGUAAGUCUAAUAAAUAUCAAAAGCUUUAUAAUUUUUCUGAACAGUCCAACUUUAGACCACUUAGCAACACUACCAUGUGGCAGAAUAGUCCAACUUUAAAAUGACUUAUUUAGAUAAUCAAGAGACAGGUUGAGCAUCCCUAAUCUGAAAAAUCUAAAACCUGAAAUAUUCUAAAAUCCAAAACAUUUUUAGCAUGAACAUUAUGCCACAAAUGGAAAAUUCCAUGUCAUUAAACUGUAUUUCAUGCACAAAAUUAUUAAAAAUAUUGAAGGGCUGGGGGUUGUAUCUUAGUGGUAGAGUACAUGUUAAGCAUGCACAAGGUCCUGGGUUCAAUAACCAGCACCACCAAAAAUGUUAUAUAUGGGGAGGGUGUGAAAAUUACCUUCAGACUAUAUAAUAAUAGGGUAUAUGUGAAACACAAAUUGAUUUUAUGUUCAGGUUUGUUUUCCAUCCCCAAGAUAAUCUCAUAUAUAUGCAAAUGUUCAAAACACUUCUGGUCCCAAGCAUUUCUGAUAAGGGAUAUUCAACCUAUGCUUAAAUAUGGAUUAGGUACUAGAUGAUAUAAAUGGUAUUUUUUAGGUGUGAUGAUGACACGGUAGUUAUAUUUAAAAGAGGGCAUAUCAAUUGGAGAUUUAUAUAUAUAUUUACUGAUAAAAUAAUAGUGUCUAGAUCUUGAUUUAAAUAUUCCACCAAAAAUGAAUAAAAAUAAAAGGAUUGAUGAUACAAGAUUGUUGAAAUGUUGAUAAUUGUUAAAGCAGGUGACAGAUGUAUGUGAUUGAUUAUAUUAUUAUUUGGGGCUUAUUCAUUCACUGGCAUAAUGAUUAUAAGCUUUUUUAUAUUCAUUCACAUUUUUUAUAUAUUGGAUAUGUCUAUAAUAAAGUUUUACAAAAAUUUUUAUGAUCUCAGUCUCUCCCUCC
Molecule: long non-coding RNA, 1284 nt
Filed under: Marmota monax (woodchuck)
Lineage: Eukaryota; Metazoa; Chordata; Mammalia; Rodentia; Sciuridae
Source: RNAcentral